This 257-nucleotide ribosomal RNA is filed under the name Pycnococcus provasolii. RNAcentral describes it as "partial Bacterial small subunit ribosomal RNA". It matches the Rfam family "Bacterial small subunit ribosomal RNA", at positions 1 to 281 of the family's 1533-position model. The record is from RNAcentral. Lineage: Eukaryota; Viridiplantae; Chlorophyta; Pseudoscourfieldiophyceae; Pseudoscourfieldiales; Pycnococcaceae.
UUGAGAGUUUGAUCCUGGCUCAGAGCGAACGCUGGCGGCAGGCUUAACACAUGCAAGUCGAGCGCCCCGCAAGGGGAGCGGCAGACGGGUGAGUAACACGUGGGAACGUACCCUUUGGUUCGGAACAACUCUGGGAAACUGGAGCUAAUACCGGAUACGCCCUUGGCCUAUGGCCCUGGGGAAAGGUUUACUGCCGAAGGAUCGGCCCGCGUCUGAUUAGCUAGUUGGUGAGGUAAUGGCUCACCAAGGCUACGAUC